GGUAAUGGCAGGGAUGGGAAAGGCCAGAAAGGUUUGCAUUUUCCAUUGGCCCUGGAGUUUUCUAAAGCUGCUUAGGCUGGUAGGAACUUUCCCCUUUUCCUUUUGCCUUUUUUUUCCCUGAAAGGUGGGAGAGGGAGGAGAUUAGUGAGGGUAGCAUGUUUGUUCAGGCUGGGGGUUCAGGGAAGAGAUGUGGAUUGGAGGUGAAAGGGAAAGUUCUUAGGCGGCUGGAAGAUCAAGUUCUCCCUGUCCCUAAAGAGGGAAAGAAGAGACCAAACCCCAAGGGGAGCAGAGGCCAAGGAAGGAUUCCAAGGUUCAGGCUCUAUCUGCCUUCAGAGUUGGUUCUUCACCCCAGGCUGAAGUUGGAGCUGCCAAACUGCUGGAGGGGAACAGCUGAAAAAUGAAGCUCUGUCUGCUGCUGCAGGAAUGUUGGCUCUAUCAGGCUCACAAAUAUAAUUUUUAUAUUA
Molecule: non-coding RNA, 464 nt
Organism: Manis javanica (Malayan pangolin)
Lineage: Eukaryota; Metazoa; Chordata; Mammalia; Pholidota; Manidae
Source: RefSeq, a predicted model, not a curated record